UAUAGUGUGUAGAUGUGUAUAUAGUGUGUAUAUAGUGUGUAGAUGUGUAUAUAGUGUGUAUAUAGUGUGUAGAUGUGUAUAUAGUGUGUAGAUGUGUAUAUAGUGUGUAGUGUAGAUGUGUAUAUAGUGUGUAGUGUGUAGAUGUGUAUAUAAUGUGUAUAUAGUGUGUAGAUGUGUAUAUAGUGUGUAGAGUGUGUAGAUGUGUAUAUAGUGUGUAUAUAGUGUGUAGAUGUGUAUAUAGUGUGUAGAUGUGUAUAUAGUGUGUAGAUGUGUAUAUAGUGUGUAUAUAGUGUGUAGAUGUGUAUAUAGUGUGUAGAGUGUGUAGAUGUGUAUAUAGUGUCCAGACUGUUAAAUCCUUUCAUAUUGAGAACAUAUUUAAAUAUGUUGUGAUAAGAGUUCAGAUUAUUCGACACGUGGCCAACAGAAGACGUGAAAACAUCGUCACUGACGUCGUUCCCCAAGCUCACAAAAUAAAAACCAUGUUUAUUAAUCAAUUGAUUUAUAAAAGAAUAACUUGUUUAAAGUUCACUAAAUAUGA
Molecule: long non-coding RNA, 538 nt
Organism: Pseudoliparis swirei
Lineage: Eukaryota; Metazoa; Chordata; Actinopteri; Perciformes; Liparidae
Exons: 2
Source: RefSeq, a predicted model, not a curated record